AUUUAGCUGCCGAGUCCCAACUAUGACGAAACCCGCGUCCUGAAU
Molecule: non-coding RNA, 45 nt
Filed under: Schistosoma mattheei
Lineage: Eukaryota; Metazoa; Platyhelminthes; Trematoda; Strigeidida; Schistosomatidae
Source: RNAcentral